Molecule: ribosomal RNA, 603 nt
Filed under: uncultured bacterium
Lineage: Bacteria
Description: bacterial SSU rRNA
Rfam family: Bacterial small subunit ribosomal RNA
Source: RNAcentral
UGCAGUCGAGCGGUAGAGAGAAGCUUGCUUCUCUUGAGAGCGGCGGACGGGUGAGUAAUGCCUAGGAAUCUGCCUGGUAGUGGGGGAUAACGUCCGGAAACGGACGCUAAUACCGCAUACGUCCUACGGGAGAAAGCAGGGGACCUUCGGGCCUUGCGCUAUCAGAUGAGCCUAGGUCGGAUUAGCUAGUUGGUGGGGUAAUGGCUCACCAAGGCGACGAUCCGUAACUGGUCUGAGAGGAUGAUCAGUCACACUGGAACUGAGACACGGUCCAGACUCCUACGGGAGGCAGCAGUGGGGAAUAUUGGACAAUGGGCGAAAGCCUGAUCCAGCCAUGCCGCGUGUGUGAAGAAGGUCUUCGGAUUGUAAAGCACUUUAAGUUGGGAGGAAGGGCAGUAAAUUAAUACUUUGCUGUUUUGACGUUACCGACAGAAUAAGCACCGGCUAACUCUGUGCCAGCAGCCGCGGUAAUACAGAGGGUGCAAGCGUUAAUCGGAAUUACUGGGCGUAAAGCGCGCGUAGGUGGUUCGUUAAGUUGGAUGUGAAAUCCCCGGGCUCAACCUGGGAACUGCAUUCAAAACUGACGAGCUAGAGUAUGGUAGA